UUGAGAUCGUGGUUGGGAUAGGGAAACAACGGCGCGAUUGGGAUUCGGAAGAUGGGGUCGAGCUGUUCUGUUGAGACGAUGUGUUAACGUGUCGAUUGCUAAAGUUCGAGCUGGUGGCAGUGUUGUUUUGUGCUCAUUGGGAGAAGGGUUUGUCCAUCGCCAUGCAAGCUCGAGACCCCAUAGCUCCUCAACCUGUACUGCCGUUGUUGGCUCGUUCUGCUCCUAACUGUUGUUCUUCUUUGCUGAUGGUACUGCGUCGUACUGCGUAUCAAGGGCCCCACCACCAUUCAUCAGUGAUCAAUGAUAUCUCAUUUCUCCUUUUAGUUCAUAUUUCCGUUUUUGGGAGGACUCUGAACUCUUUUUUUUCUCUCCUUUUCACGAAGAAUGUCUCUUCCAUGAUGUUAUUGCUCUUUCUUUCUUUCUUUUGUUAGUUAGUUCGUUCGUUCGUUAGUUAGUUAGUUAGUUCGUUCGUUCGUUCGUUCGUUCGUUCGUUCGUUCGUUCGGUUGUUCGUUCGUUCGUACAUGUUAUUUGUGAUUAUAUAGAAAAGAAAAAGAAAAAGGAAAAGAAAAGAAAAAAAGAGACGGUAGCAAAAGAUUCGCAAACAUUCUCAAUGUCGAGUUACGGAAAUAAUCUCAUUGGGAUUCAAUAAAAAUUGCUUAGUUAACAAUGCAAAGGAAAGGAAAACGAAUCCCCUGUCAAUUGAUGAUUCGUUGUAUAAAAGGAAAGAAAAAAAAAGACAAUAAGAAAUAUAAUAUUGGAUUGGAACAAGUGCUUCAAGCUUUCCAUUUUAAGAUUAUUAUUAUUAUCAUUAUCGAAUAUUGAAAUGAGUAUAAAGGAUGAGAAAAAGAGAAAAAAUCAUAACGCG
Long non-coding RNA from Vespula pensylvanica (western yellowjacket), 866 nucleotides. RefSeq lists it as uncharacterized. The transcript has 2 exons. Lineage: Eukaryota; Metazoa; Arthropoda; Insecta; Hymenoptera; Vespidae. The record is from RefSeq and is a predicted model, not a curated record.